RNAcentral lists this ribosomal RNA (423 nucleotides) under uncultured bacterium. RNAcentral describes it as "partial 16S ribosomal RNA". It matches the Rfam family "Bacterial small subunit ribosomal RNA", at positions 359 to 774 of the family's 1533-position model. The record is from RNAcentral.
GAAUCUUCGGCAAUGGACGGAAGUCUGACCGAGCGAUGCCGCGUGAGUGAAGAAGGUCUUCGGAUUGUAAAGCUCUGUGAUUAGGGAAGAAGGCUAUAAGGAGUGAAUGUCUAAUAGGUGACUGUACCUAAUUAGAAAGCCACGGCUCACUACGUGCCAGCAGCCGCGGUAAUACGUAGGUGGCGAGCGUUGUCCGGAAUUACUGGGCGUAAAGGGUGCGUAGGCGGUCCAUUAAGUCUGAUUUGAAAUACCAUGGCUUAACCAUGGGGGGCGAUUGGAAACUGGUGGACUUGAGCAUAGGAGAGGAAGGUGGAAUUCCAUGUGUAGCGGUGAAAUGCGUAGAGAUUUGGAGGAACACCAGUGGCGAAGGCGGCUUUCUGGUCUGUAACUGACGCUGAGGCGCGAAAGCGUGGGGAGCAAACA